UAGGGAAUCUUCGGCAAUGGACGGAAGUCUGACCGAGCAACGCCGCGUGAGUGAAGAAGGUUUUCGGAUCGUAAAGCUCUGUUGUUAGAGAAGAACGUUGGUAGGAGUGGAAAAUCUACCAAGUGACGGUAACUAACCAGAAAGGGACGGCUAACUACGUGCCAGCAGCCGCGGUAAUACGUAGGUCCCGAGCGUUGUCCGGAUUUAUUGGGUGUAAAGCGAGCGCAGGCGGUUCUUUAAGUCUGAAGUUAAAGGCAGUGGCUUAACCAUUGUACGCUUUGGAAACUGGAGGACUUGAGUGCAGAAGGGGAGAGUGGAAUUCCAUGUGUAACGGUGAAAUGCGUAGAUAUAUGGAGGAACACCGGUGGCGAAAGCGGCUCUCUGGUCUGUAACUGACGCUGAGGCUCGAAAGCGUGGGGAGCAAACAGG
This 429-nucleotide ribosomal RNA is filed under the name Bacillota bacterium. RNAcentral describes it as "Firmicutes bacterium partial 16S ribosomal RNA". It matches the Rfam family "Bacterial small subunit ribosomal RNA", at positions 355 to 776 of the family's 1533-position model. Lineage: Bacteria; Bacillati; Bacillota. The record is from RNAcentral.